UUGGCAGCUCUGGAAAAUUAAGUUUAUUUAUCUACAGACUAGGUAACCGCGCAAACAGUACAGACUUCCCCAUACCACCCUAUCAGUGUGCCUCAAGAGCAACCUGGAGAGACCAUCUUUAGGAGUAAAAUGAUAGCUUAGUCUCCAUGUAAAUAGAGGUCCAGAUCUAGCAAAAC
This 176-nucleotide small RNA is filed under the name Chelonoidis abingdonii (Abingdon island giant tortoise). RNAcentral describes it as "TUC338 (ENSCABG00000009670.1)". Lineage: Eukaryota; Metazoa; Chordata; Testudines; Testudinidae. The record is from RNAcentral.